Long non-coding RNA from Coturnix japonica (Japanese quail), 1637 nucleotides. The record is from Ensembl. NCBI's taxonomy places the organism in Eukaryota, Metazoa, Chordata, Aves, Galliformes, Phasianidae.
AUGAUACGCCAGAGGCCAGUCCUGGCUCACAUCAUUUCACCUCAGUCUUCUCAGUUUUCUAUUCCUGCUGUUAUUUUUACUCUUCUCCCUGAGAACAGCAUUCAGAUUCUCUUCACCUUCUCCCCCUGUAACUCAAACCUGCAGUCCAGCACUCCCACUUCUCAAAUUUAUUGCUGUAGCCAUGACAAACAGCCAUUCUCCUGCAAACAAGUCAUUCUGUGUCUAUGGCAGAACAAGCAGCAGUUUUUGCUCAAUAAGAGGAAAUGUGACAUAUAUAAGACAUAUUCUCCACAGUCUCCUGAUGGAAGCAAACCAGAGUGAGUUCAUCAUGCCAGUGCUACAUAGAAAACACACAGAUGAAAGUUCAAGUUUUGCCCAGUGGAGAAUUCUGAAUUCGUCCUCUAUAAAGUUUUUAUAUGUAAGAAACAUUAUUAGAAGCAACUCAAAAUAUAGCUGAAUUUCAAACAUGUUUCAUGUUUAUUUCUUAUUAAUGUGAAAUGAAAGUAACGUUAUAUACUAACCUAGGAAGAAUAUAGAAUGACUUUUUACUUUAGCUCCAUAUUUCUACUGUUUCAGAUUUGUUGGCUGCCUUCCCCUCGGAUGUGUUCUUUGCUGUAAUCAAUGUUUUUUUUUUUCCAGACAGUCUGCAGAAACCUGCUUACUGCCCUCUGUGGGCUUUGAAGUUUUUGGUGGUUUUCUCUAUUUUUCCGGUAGCUAUUGGAAUUUCAAUAUCCAACUCUGACUUCUUUAACUGAGGGCUCUGCAAGGCACCUGGGGACUUGGAGGCAAACAUUUUACUUUAAUGUUGUGUGUAUGUGUGUGCUGUUUUCAGGAGCAUACAGGAAACUCAAGGCGUUACUUUCACACAUUAUGCAGAUUUGUAUCUGUGACAUUAAUUUGCUUUGUUUUCAAAGACAGUCACAAUUAAGCAGUGUGUUAUGAACACAGUCUCAGGCUUGUAUUACCAUGUUAAAUGUAUUAAAUGCUAGAAAGGUUUUUUUAUUACACUUCAAUCAUAAAAAAAAAACCAUGGAUCAAUGCCAUCCUUUUUUCAGCAUUUCUGUAGAUGAGUCCCUGUAUAACGUAAAAACAUAACUUUACUAUUAUUUAUUUUAGGGCAGAAAAACUGCAGUAGAUGCUCUAAAACCCAAAAUAAGUAUAGAAGAUCUGUAAUAAGGGUAGAGGUGUGUGUAUGAAGCACUGCAUCAGCAAGCUGCUGGAAGCAUCUGCCUCAGAGAGCAGCAGUAAGAGCAGAGUGCUCUUACUGCUGCUAUUAAAACAGAGAAGCACAGCAUACUAGGUUGGGAUCAAUAUUUAAUCUAAUGCCAACCCUUGGUUUCUCUCAGCAACCUCAACCAAUUCACACAGUUGUUUACAAAGAUUAGGAGAGGUUUCUGUUGGUCACUAAAGCCAGGCCUGGGGCACAUUCUGGCUUGACUGAACCAUGAAUGGCUUUCUUUAUAUCAGUAUGAAGACUAGAAUAUGAAGCUGAGAUCAUAUGUUUUUUCACAGAAGCAUACAUCUCACCACUGAAGAGACUAACAGUAGUUUGAUGUGGUCAUCUUAAAAAGGGCUGACCCCAAUAACCAACAGGCAAUAUACCAUGAAUAAAAGUGCAGCUGUGACUAUUCUUUGCA